AAAUAAUUUUAAAAAUAAGAAUAAAAAAGUACAAAUUUUUAAUAUUAUUUGAUAAUUGUAUUGUCUUUUUUCUACUAUUAAUUUCAACUAUCUUCAUCAAUAUCUGCAUCAAUAUCUUCAUCAAUAUCCUGUCUACUUUCUUUACAUUUAUUUUGCUGUUUUUGUUCCAUUUUCUUAGGUUCAAGCCUACAUUAACUUACUUUCAAAUUUUUACAUUUAUAUGUUAAAUGUUCAUUAUAGAAAUGCUGAUGCCCUGAGCCUUAGAUAUGAAGAAGAGAGUGGGGGCACUGAGGCUCACCAGUCUAGCUGUGACAAACCAUGACCUUGGAUGCUACAUGGUUGGGUACCCAAGCACUUAGUGUUCUGCUCACUAGGCUGAUUUUGUAUGCACCAGAACCCUGCCCAGGCUUGGGCCCUGGGGAGAUGAAAUCAAAAAGAUGGGUUCAACUCCUCCCAAGAGAAGGAGCUCCAUCCCAAAUAUAAAAUGUCAGCCCAGUCCUAGACUCUCCUAUCUCCUGCCUGCAACACCAUGAAGACUGAAUGGAUCCUCUUUUCUCUAUGUCUCCUCAUCUUGUCUAUGCCCCUCCAGACACUUUCAGGCAUCCUGUUUCCUUUACCUCUCAGAAAACAAUUGUGUGAAAGUGGACAUCUUGGAGUGAGGCCAGAAAUCUGCAACUAUCCUCCGGUAUUUGGCACCUGUAAGUCAGUUUACACGAGAUUCUACUACAACACCUUGACAUUUUUGUGUGAGCCCUUCGUCUUCUCUGGCUGUGGAGGCAACAGAAACAACUUUAAACAUAAAUUUCUCUGCGAAAAAUUUUGUAUUCCUGAAAAAGACAGAGGCAGUGGAAGAAAGGAAACCCAACAUGACAUAAGGAAGAAAUGAAGAAAAAGGAAUAUUCCUUAUGCAAAAGUAUGCCAAAAUAAUUCUGAAUAUAAAUGGGACUAUUACUGGAAGAUUUUGAAUUCAGAAUUCCUGCUAAUUUCCUUGCUCAGAUUUGCCUUUCAUGCUGAUUAUAUGUAUAAAAAUUUAACUGAAAACUUCCUGCAUGUCAGCCCCGGUCUAAAUUCAUUCAUCUCUCCCAUCCUAGAUUCUUCCAAUGUAAACCACUGAUGACCUCUCUGAAGAUACCAACCUACCCAUGUAAUGAAUUCAUCUGCAUAAAGGCAAUCAUUGUUGGCACCUCCUUGGCAUGACCCGCCAAAACUGAGUUUGCUCCUGUAUUUUGUCACUGACCCCAGUGGAUUUCCAUAUAAGUGGCACUAAAAUAAUCCUCAUUAAGUUGUUUCAUCUGCCCCAAAUCAAUGAGCAUUCAACCCUCAACAAUGCUCAUAUUCUAGGGAAAUAUCUCCAGUGCCCCAGGGACCAGGAAUAUAGAAAUUAUGACUUUACACCUGGAAGCUGCAAAUCUUGAAUGAAGCUGAACUUCUAUAAUCAGAGUAUGGAGAGUCAUUCCCCUUUGCCCUGACUUCCCUAUUCACAUUCUCAUCAAGGACCCAGCUUCACAAAGGAGUCCAGUGAUACGAGCAUUCUAAGGACCAUAAACACUGGGGGGGCACUGUAGCCCAGGGUAAGUCCAUAUAUGGGCAUGCUAAGUCAAUCCCAACAAUGGCAACCCCUGCCUCUGGACUUUGGGCACAGCCUUGGAGACAUCUCAGGAAUUGGCAGGAAGCAUAGGUUAAAGACGUCAGUCACCCUGGCCCUUCACCCAGGAACUGUUCCUGUGUAAAAAGGGACAAAUGAAAAAGGUAGUUUCUGGGUAUUGAACCAAAGUCUAGUAACCCAGACCAUUCUGAAUCCAUAGAAAACUUCUUCCUAGGCCUGGCAUCACGGGUAUGACCUAUCUGGUGCACAUUCAUGGAUUCUGAAGACUUCCCACCCUCUGACUGUUGUGAAACACAGUGUCACAUAAACAAGUAUAAACGAGUGUAAUUUCCUUGAAAACUCUUUCAGAACUAUAGUCUAGUAUUCCGAAGAAUUACUGUAAGUAAAGUACUCUCUGAAGACAAUUAGUAUCCAAAGUCCAUUUUAGCCUCAGGUUUUCAGAUUUCUCCUGGGCACUCAAGUGAUUGUCCAAGUUUCCUUCUGACUCAAUCCUAAAUUUGCCUGUAGGAUGGUUUCUGUGUGUGUUGUCUGUGGUGCUGAAGGAUGAUAUUCACAAGUGCCAACAAAGAUCAGUAAAAAGGCACAAAGCCAUACAACAUUCGCAGGCCUUCCUACAGAACUACAUACCCAAGGAGUAAUACAGGACAUCAAUUAAUGAGAAACCCAAAUGAAUUUCACAUUAAAUUCAAGUGAGAUAUUUUGAGGGGGUGAUCACUGAUAAAAGGGGGGCCACAGAUGACAACAUAAAGCAAGGUCUUGGGGUACACCAAGGGCAGAACGAAAAGAUUACAGUCCUGAGUCUGGUCUCUUCCCAAGGUCAUAUCUGAUCACUAGAGAAACUCGAAGGUUUCGUUUCUGAUUCCAAGAGGCCCCAGAAAGAAGGAAUUUGUGCAGCAGACCUUGGAAUGUGGCACAAGUUUGCCUGUCAUUCGAGAGAUACUCAGUGCCUUCCACCCUCACAUCUGGGUGCAGAGCAGAACCUGGGAGAAGAUGGAAAGAAGGGAGAUCUAAUGAUCAUCAUGAAGACACUGAUCUCUUCCCCCAUCUAACCAUCCCAUUCCAUCCCCUGUAAGGGAAUAAAUAGAGUAGGAGAAAAGCUCCAACCCUUCCUCAGGCUAGCCUUCACUGGGUCUGGUAGAUCAUUCUCCCCACAGGAAAUUCCAUAUCCAGCAGCCUGACACCAGUUCCAUCCUGCCAAGCUCUCUUUAUCAGAUCCAUCCUUGAUCUGGCCACUUCAAAACCUCAUUAGUUCUAUCUGCUGUUGCCAGAAUAAUUAUCCUCAAGCACCAUUUCUGUUUCUCAGGCCCUUGAUUCAAGACACACACUGCCUGUGGUUAAGAUUUUAACCAAAUAUCCAGGUCUCCCAUGUCUGCCCCAUAUUAUUACUGUUUCCUAUACUUUUGUCUCAACUUCAUGAGUCUUUUUAUGAGUAGCAUGGACUUUGAGAGAGGAGAGUGACCUAAUCCAAUUCUGACCUAUUGUACUUACUAGAACGAAAGGUCUGAAAUGUGAGGUGACUUGAAAAAUGCCCCUGUUAUCUCAUAGUUUCGUUUAUGUUUUAUACCUCGACUCUCAGUUGGGAACUUUCUUCCACGCACGAUGCAUUCUCUCCUUCUUCAUUCAUUCAGCACGUUCAUUGAGCACCUACUGUAAGCCAGAUACCAUAUGAGGCAUGGGAUAAAGUAGUGAGCAGAGAGGGCCAUACCCUGUUCUCAUGGAAUUGACCAUCUAAAGAGGAGACAGACAUUUAUCCAAUAACCACCCAGGUACCUGAUGAUAAAUGUUAAUACACGAUCUACAAGAAAGGCAUAGGGUGUUAUUAGCAGGUGCAGUAGAGGAACUUAAACUAUCAAUAGAUUCAGCAAAUACUUUCCAGAAUAGACGAUAUUUAAGCUGACAUCUGAAGCAUAACAAGGCACAAGGGGGACAGGCAUUCCCACCAGAGAGAAUGAUAACGUGAAUACCUUGAGGCAGGAUAAAGCGUAACAUAUUCUAAGAAUUGAAUGUGCUCCCAUAGAGCUGGGGGCACAGUGAGGAUAUGGAGGUUAGCAGGCCCAGGUCAUCUGUAUGACUUUAUAUGUCAGGGAAAGAAGUUUAGAUUUAUUUCAACUGUGAGGAAUAAAAAUGGAGGUUUUCAGGGGCACCUGGGUGGCUCAAUCAGUUGAGCAUCUGACUCUUGAUUUCCACGCAGGUCAUGAUCUC
Molecule: long non-coding RNA, 3808 nt
Organism: Leopardus geoffroyi (Geoffroy's cat)
Lineage: Eukaryota; Metazoa; Chordata; Mammalia; Carnivora; Felidae
Exons: 4
Source: RefSeq, a predicted model, not a curated record